RNAcentral lists this ribosomal RNA (270 nucleotides) under uncultured archaeon. RNAcentral's name for it is "partial 16S ribosomal RNA". It matches the Rfam family "Archaeal small subunit ribosomal RNA", at positions 477 to 747 of the family's 1478-position model. The record is from RNAcentral.
CAGCACCUCAAGUGGUCAGGAUGAUUAUUGGGCCUAAAGCAUCCGUAGCCGGCUCUGUAAGUUUUCGGUUAAAUCUGUACGCUCAACGUACAGGCUGCCGGGAAUACUGCAGAGCUAGGGAGUGGGAGAGGUAGACGGCACUCGGUAGGAAGGGGUAAAAUCCUUUGAUCUAUUGAUGACCACCUGUGGCGAAGGCGGUCUACCAGAACACGUCCGACGGUGAGGGAUGAAAGCUGGGGGAGCAAACCGGAUUAGAUACCCGAGUAGUCC